GACGAACGCUGGCGGCGUGCCUAAUACAUGCAAGUUGAGCGCUGAAGGUUGGUACUUGUACCAACUGGAUGAGCAGCGAACGGGUGAGUAACGCGUGGGGAAUCUGCCUUUGAGCGGGGGACAACAUUUGGAAACGAAUGCUAAUACCGCAUAAAAACUUUAAACACAAGUUUUAAGUUUGAAAGAUGCAAUUGCAUCACUCAAAGAUGAUCCCGCGUUGUAUUAGCUAGUUGGUGAGGUAAAGGCUCACCAAGGCGAUGAUACAUAGCCGACCUGAGAGGGGGAUCGGCCACAUUGGGACUGAGACACGGCCCAAACCCCUACGGGAGGCAGCAGUAGGGAAUCUUCGGCAAUGGACGAAAGUCUGACCGAGCAACGCCGCGUGAGUGAAGAAGGUUUUCGGAUCGUAAAACUCUGUUGGUAGAGAAGAACGUUGGUGAGAGUGGAAAGCUCAUCAAGUGACGGUAACUACCCAGAAAGGGACGGCUAACUACGUG
This 497-nucleotide ribosomal RNA is filed under the name uncultured bacterium. RNAcentral's name for it is "partial 16S ribosomal RNA". It matches the Rfam family "Bacterial small subunit ribosomal RNA", at positions 28 to 507 of the family's 1533-position model. The record is from RNAcentral.